AUUAAUGAUGAUUUAAAAUUUCUUCACUUUGACCUGAUUACCUUGAUGAAAAAUUGAGUCUGAUA
Small nucleolar RNA from Labeo rohita (rohu), 65 nucleotides. RefSeq annotates it as small nucleolar RNA SNORD37. The record is from RefSeq and is a predicted model, not a curated record. Lineage: Eukaryota; Metazoa; Chordata; Actinopteri; Cypriniformes; Cyprinidae. The transcript has a single exon.